UGCGCAGGCGGGCCUGUAAGUCAGUGGUGAAAUCUUGCCGCUUAACGGUAAAAUUGCCAUUGAUACUGCAAGUCUUGAAUAUGGUUGAGGUAGGCGGAAUGUGUUGUGUAGCGGUGAAAUGCAUAGAUAUGACACAGAACACCGAUUGCGAAGGCAGCUUACUAAGCCAUUAUUGACGCUGAGGCACGAAAGCGUGGGGAGCGAACAGGAUUAGAUACCCUGGUAGUCC
Molecule: ribosomal RNA, 229 nt
Filed under: uncultured bacterium
Lineage: Bacteria
Description: partial 16S ribosomal RNA
Rfam family: Bacterial small subunit ribosomal RNA
Source: RNAcentral